CUCAUUCUGAUUUGGUGAUUGGUCACAUGAUGUGUUGUAGUUUAUUUCUUCGUACUUUAAAUUCAUGUUGUUGAGAUUUUGUUUUGGUAUUUUUGGUCAAUAAGUACAUAUAUGGUGAGAUUUUUUGUAUGUCACUGUAAGUGAAUGUUUUAAUUUUGUGUUUGUGUUAUUGGCUACUUCUGAAUCUGUUCUUUUGUUUUCGGUAGUUUUGUUGAUGGCGUUGAGCACAUAAUUCAUGUUGGUAACACUAAUUGUUUCUUCUGCAGUUUCUUUUAGUAGCCGGCGCUGUUUGUCUUCAAAUAGUGUUAUCCAGUGAGCUAUGUUCUGGGUUUUGUAUGCAUAAUCUCUCAAGUGUCAGUUUGCCAAGUAAUUGAAUUUCUAGUCAGGAAUAGAGUUAUGUUGACUUUAGAGUGCCGACUAAGUCAAGUGAG
This 431-nucleotide long non-coding RNA is filed under the name Malus domestica (apple). RNAcentral describes it as "long non-coding RNA (MDOM_LNC000853)". Lineage: Eukaryota; Viridiplantae; Streptophyta; Magnoliopsida; Rosales; Rosaceae. The record is from RNAcentral.